AGCUCUAAUAGCGUAUAUUAAAGUUGUUGCAGUUAAAACGCUCGUAGUUGUAGUUCUGCUGUAUAAAGCACAAUACUGUACGUCAGUUGCGUGUUUUUGUCAGCAUUUUACUGCCUUUACUGUAGCUUUAUGGCUGCGUGAAAGGCGGGAAUUUACUUUGAAUAAACUAGAGUGUUUCAAGCAGGCAAGUCGCCUUGAAUACCUCAGCAUGGAAUAAUAAGAAAAGACUACGGUUCUUCUUGUUGGUUUAAGUACCUAAGUAAUGAUUGAUAGGGACAGUUGGGGGCAUUCGUAUUUAGAAGUUAGAGGUGAAAUUCUUAGAUCUUCUAAAGACGAACUACUGCGAAAGCAUCUGCCAAGAAUGUUUUCA
RNAcentral lists this ribosomal RNA (370 nucleotides) under uncultured eukaryote. RNAcentral describes it as "SSU rRNA". It matches the Rfam family "Eukaryotic small subunit ribosomal RNA", at positions 587 to 972 of the family's 1831-position model. The record is from RNAcentral.